GGCAUUGUUCUAGUGCAUUGUGUGGCGGUGGCUUUUCCCUGGGCUGUGGUGGCUGGAUGACUGCUCAGUUGCAGCUAUUAAUUCCGGCACCUCGCUGUAUUCUUGUAUCGACCAAUGAGUGAUUAUAACGUGUCCGAUUGUGUGCCCAUUGGAUCCUACCUUUUUCUUUCUCCCCUUUCCCUUUAUGUCGGAUCUUCCUCUGGUAUAAUUUGUUUAUUAGCUCCCGUAUUCAUCGCUAUUGCUGUGGUUACCGGAGAUCGUCUUCUACUGCUGCUAAUGCAGGCAUGUUGGCUACCGAUUGGACGCCACCAAUGCAGCUGUUAACGGGGACUGCCUGCAUUAAUCCUUGGCGUGCUGCUUUGUGCUCCACUUCAUUCUUUCAUUUGUUUAUUUGUUUUGGAUGAUUGAUUUGUUAACAUUAGUAAUGCUCUGCUUUUUGUUUUGUCUUUAAUUUAUGCAGAGCAUUGAUUUUGUUUUUGUUAUUAAGAUAUUUAAGAUAUAAGUUAUUAAGAUAUUUUUUGUGUGUUUAUUAGUCAUAUUAUUUUGAGUAUCAAUUGAUGUUUGGAUUUAGUGUAGGUCAGAUGGUGUAACUACAGCUGUAGCUGUCUUUCAAUUAGAUCAUGUAAAGUAGGUGUGUUAACCUGAUUGACCCACUUAUUGAUGCAUUUUGUUGGUUAUUUAUUUUAUUUUUGUUUAUUUCAGGAACUGAGGUUUUCCCCGAUGGAUGACGGGUCUUUUUCCACGGGUGGUGGUGUUUCUCUACCAUGUGCUGUGGGACACUGAGUGUGUGAUUUGAGUGCACUGUGGUGUGUGCGUGUGCUGGGGUAAAGUCGGUCCACUCGUACCCAGUCAGUGGGAACCUCCAAUCCUUGUUUUGUUUGUUAAUUUAUUGUUUCUUUUUGUAUUUAAUAAUGAAGUGGGAGUUUUUGAUGUGCUUUUAAGAACUGUACAAUUUGACAGUUUUAUUCAAAAUAAAUAUUUUUGUACCUUUGCAU
Danio rerio (zebrafish) is the source of this 995-nucleotide non-coding RNA. NCBI's taxonomy places the organism in Eukaryota, Metazoa, Chordata, Actinopteri, Cypriniformes, Danionidae. The record is from Ensembl.